This 489-nucleotide ribosomal RNA is filed under the name uncultured bacterium. RNAcentral's name for it is "bacterial SSU rRNA". It matches the Rfam family "Bacterial small subunit ribosomal RNA", at positions 1 to 484 of the family's 1533-position model. The record is from RNAcentral.
AAUUCGCCCUUAGAGUUUGAUCCUGGCUCAGAUUGAACGCUGGCGGCAUGCCUUACACAUGCAAGUCGAACGGUAACGCGGGGCAACCUGGCGACGAGUGGCGAACGGGUGAGUAAUAUAUCGGAACGUGCCCAGUCGUGGGGGAUAACUGCUCGAAAGAGCAGCUAAUACCGCAUACGACCUGAGGGUGAAAGCGGGGGAUCUUCGGACCUCGCGCGAUUGGAGCGGCCGAUAUCAGAUUAGGUAGUUGGUGGGGUAAAGGCCUACCAAGCCGACGAUCUGUAGCUGGUCUGAGAGGACGACCAGCCACACUGGGACUGAGACACGGCCCAGACUCCUACGGGAGGCAGCAGUGGGGAAUUUUGGACAAUGGGGGCAACCCUGAUCCAGCCAUGCCGCGUGCGGGAAGAAGGCCUUCGGGUUGUAAACCGCUUUUGUCAGGGAAGAAAUCCUUUGGGCUAAUAACUCGGAGGGAUGACGGUACCGAAG